Molecule: non-coding RNA, 1209 nt
Organism: Kogia breviceps (pygmy sperm whale)
Lineage: Eukaryota; Metazoa; Chordata; Mammalia; Artiodactyla; Physeteridae
Source: RefSeq, a predicted model, not a curated record
GUUAAAACCCUGACAUGCUGUGCAGCUAACCAAUCUCUUACACUGAGGGGUGUGGGGUCGGGGUGAGGGAACAGCAACAAAAUAUAAAUUGAAAACAAAAUGAAUAUGUUUCCUGAAACAAAGCCAAAAUCUGAAUAAUCCUUCGGUAAUGACCAUUUAUGCAGCUGAGAGUUUUCCAAGUUUUUCUUUCUACCCUUUUAAAGUAACAUGGGAAUCUGGUCCAAUUUUAAAGCCAGAGAUUACUCAGAACUAUUUUUAGGUCAUUUCAUCCCAUUUUUAGUUGACUUGUGUAACCUAGGCGGUAUUUUCAUUUCAAAGCUGCAGUGGAAGACAUGCCUGAGUUCUCCGCGCACCAGUGCCAGGAUGCAAGCCUCCGCCCCCCCAGGAAACUGGCCAGUGAUAUUCCAUCUCCCUUCCUGCUGUUGGCUUCUUGACGGAAGAAGAUACAGACACAGAGGAGAAGGUCACGUGAAGACAAAGGCAGAGCAGAGACUGGAAUGAUAGCUCUACAAGCCACAGAGCGCCAGGAACUGCCAGAGGCUGGAAGAUGCAAAGAUCCUCCCCCAGAACCUCCAGAGGAAGCGUGGCCCUGCUGACACCCUGAUGAUGGACUUCUGGCCUCCAGAACUCUGUUCCAGUGGGGCUGAUGUGGAUCUCCCUGUGGGUACCACUCAUCUUUGAAGCAGUCAGUAGCAUCAUGUCCUGCUGCAGCGGAGAAAGGAAGGAAGGUCUGUGCUGCUGGAGGGUGCAAGGGCUCCCUCCAAGCUCCAAAAGCUCGUGCCCAGCCUCCUGACUCAAUCAUUUCCCCACCAAAGCAAUACCGUCUCUGCUUGUAUGAAGGAAUAAAGAUGUACAUUUGUACAGGACAUUUGUACAGACGUACAUUUAAGUACAUUAGGUACUUAAAAUGACUUGAAAUACUGGUUGUGAUCUUCCUAUGAAGUAAAGAACAAACUUUUUCCCCAUGGUGCCUCCUGUGUAAUACUUAAGCUGAGAAUGGACAGUUUGCCUGGUAUUGUCCUGGAGCUUCACAUAGCUCAUUUAAGCUAUACAACAACUAUAAAUUAGGUAUUCUUUUUCUAAUCUACUACAGUCAAGAUAACUGAAGCUCAGUGAAGUUAGAUAUCCUGCACUCUGCCUAGGGAGUGAAGUCAGUCUGUCACAGAUGAGCAGCCAAACUCCAAGGAAUGAAUGAGCCACUGACACCUA